Molecule: ribosomal RNA, 476 nt
Filed under: uncultured bacterium
Lineage: Bacteria
Description: bacterial SSU rRNA
Rfam family: Bacterial small subunit ribosomal RNA
Source: RNAcentral
CGAGGACGAACGCUGGCGGCGUGCCUAACACAUGCAAGUCGAGCGAGGAGAUCCUUCGGGAUGAUCCUAGCGGCGGACGGGUGAGUAACACGUGGGCAACCUGCCUCAUAGAGAGGAAUAGCCUUCCGAAAGGGAGAUUAAUACCUCAUAACAUUGCAGUUUCGCAUGGAACAGCAAUUAAAGGAGUAAUCCGCUAUGAGAUGGGCCCGCGGCGCAUUAGCUAGUUGGUGAGGUAACGGCUCACCAAGGCGACGAUGCGUAGCCGACCUGAGAGGGUGAUCGGCCACAUUGGGACUGAGACACGGCCCAGACUCCUACGGGAGGCAGCAGUGGGGAAUAUUGCACAAUGGGGGAAACCCUGAUGCAGCAACGCCGCGUGAGUGAUGACGGCCUUCGGGUUGUAAAGCUCUGUCUUCAGGGACGAUAAUGACGGUACCUGAGGAGGAAGCCACGGCUAACUACGUGCCAGCCGCGGC